Bos taurus (domestic cattle) is the source of this 685-nucleotide long non-coding RNA. Lineage: Eukaryota; Metazoa; Chordata; Mammalia; Artiodactyla; Bovidae. The record is from Ensembl.
CAAGAUUUGUAAACACCAGAGCCUGAUCUGUCAUGCAGCACAUGGGGGAUACAAUUUGAAUAAGUACAGCCUCUUCUCGUGAGGGAACGUCAAAGACUUUGCAAGUCCUCCUGAACUGGUUCCUAAAGCCUGCCUAGGGCAGCUCAGUGGACUCCACAUAUGUCCUCUUGGUUGCUCCGGUGUCUGCCAUUUCCCUCCUUUCCAGCUCUGGCCACUCAGGACUCGGACAAGUAUUGAUGGAGAAUGGAUGAGGGGAUCAAGUUGGGAAUACUGCUCCAUGAUCUCCCCUCCCCUGCUGGAAUCCUGCAGCGCCGGCCUGCACCAUGAGACUAAACUCUCUAUUCAAUGACCUUCAAUAACUGGAUCUCUGCAGAAGUCUUCCAGCUUUACCUCCUGUAGUUCCCUCUUUACACCAACAGUUUAAGAUGGAUCAGAUUAUUUGUUUUCAAAAUGCAUUCACUGUACACACACAAGCCACCUUGCCUUUGCAUGUGUUUUAUAGUCUGCCUGAAACAGCCUUCCCUCCCUUCCUCUCCCCUCACCAAACACAUUGCAGCAGCUCAUCCUGUCACCUCCUCCAGGAAGCCUUCCCUGCAUCCUAUCUCCUCUUUCUUCCCUGCUAAGCUACAUGCUUAUCAUCUGUGUUCCGCCUAAGCUCCCUCUGCAUUAAUUUUGACUGCUGGCU